UACGGGGGGGGCAAGCGUUGUUCGGAAUUACUGGGCGUAAAGGGCUCGUAGGUGGCCAACUAAGUCAGACGUGAAAUCCCUCAGCUUAACUGGGGAACUGCGUCUGAUACUGGAUGGCUUGAGUUUGGGAGAGGGAUGCGGAAUUCCAGGUGUAGCGGUUAAAUGCGUAGAUAUCUGGAGGAACACCGGUGGCGAAGGCGGCAUCCUGGACCAACACUGACACUGAUGAGCGAAAGCCAGGGGAGCAAACGGG
RNAcentral lists this ribosomal RNA (253 nucleotides) under uncultured bacterium. Its description in RNAcentral is "partial 16S ribosomal RNA". It matches the Rfam family "Bacterial small subunit ribosomal RNA", at positions 524 to 776 of the family's 1533-position model. The record is from RNAcentral.